UGUCGGUAAAACUCGUGCCAGCCACCGCGGUUAUACGAGAGACCCUAGUUGAUAAAUACGGCGUAAAGAGUGGUUUGGGGUAACCAUAAAUUAAAGCUAAAGACCUUCUAAGCCGUUACACGCACACCGAAGAUACGAAGCCCUAAUACGAAAGUAGCUUUAUUAUUAGCCCGACGCCACGAAAGCUAAGAAACAAACUGGGAUUAGAUACCCCACUAUGG
Molecule: ribosomal RNA, 221 nt
Filed under: Brevidens striatus
Lineage: Eukaryota; Metazoa; Chordata; Actinopteri; Characiformes; Anostomidae
Description: Leporinus striatus partial small subunit ribosomal RNA
Source: RNAcentral